This 295-nucleotide ribosomal RNA is filed under the name uncultured Glomeromycotina. Its description in RNAcentral is "partial small subunit ribosomal RNA". It matches the Rfam family "Eukaryotic small subunit ribosomal RNA", at positions 569 to 866 of the family's 1831-position model. Lineage: Eukaryota; Fungi; Glomeromycota. The record is from RNAcentral.
AGCAGCCGCGGUAAUUCCAGCUCCAAUAGCGUAUAUUAAAGUUGUUGCAGUUAAAAGCUGUAGUUGAAUUUUCGGGGGAUUACGUAGUCAGGGUUUCGGGGUUCCGGUUGGCCCCAUUAUGGGGUUAAUGAACCGUUGGAUUUUACCUUGGGUGAUUUUACCCUUGAUUCCCCCUUCUUCCGUUAAGCAAUCGACUGGAAUAAUCCGACCAUUUCAAAUUUUGGGUUCGUUGCAAUAAGGGAAUUUUCGGAUGGGACUUGGGCUUACGGGGUUUUAAGUCAAAAAAAUUGGAACU